AAAAGUCAGAGACAAGAAAUUUUCAAGAUUUUCAUUGUUAUAGAUUUAUUUGUUUUCGAUAUCCGUCAUACUUCAUGUUGAUUAGCGGAUUUGAGGCCAGCCAUCAUAAACACACAAUAUCCAAGUUUUCUUGUGCAGAUGUUAACCUGUCAUCAGCAGCAAUCUCAGGAUUCGCUUGGAUAAAGAGCAUCCCAUUGCAUUUGAAAAACUACCGAUGUCAAUCGAGUUUCGGAUCUCUCUUUUUCCCCUUUCUUUAAAUGUCCUCGUGUACGCCCAUGUGAAUGUGGGUGUAUUCACGAGGACACCCUUUUUACCCUAUCCCGUCUGUUGUAAUUCAACUCUUCAGCGGAUGGAUGGAGCAACUGUGGAUGCCUGGCUGUAUUUCCCAGGCAUAAAGGUAGGACAAAAUUGAUCCCUAUUCUUUCAUUUUUGACAAUUUUUGGUGACGUUGAUUAUAAAUCGUAGUCAUGGAGUA
Molecule: long non-coding RNA, 475 nt
Organism: Daphnia pulicaria
Lineage: Eukaryota; Metazoa; Arthropoda; Branchiopoda; Diplostraca; Daphniidae
Exons: 3
Source: RefSeq, a predicted model, not a curated record